This is a long non-coding RNA of Chiroxiphia lanceolata (lance-tailed manakin), 196 nucleotides long. RefSeq lists it as uncharacterized. The transcript is spliced from 3 exons. NCBI's taxonomy places the organism in Eukaryota, Metazoa, Chordata, Aves, Passeriformes, Pipridae. The record is from RefSeq and is a predicted model, not a curated record.
CUUACUACAACCAACUUUCAGAUAGUUGUAGGGAGUGAUAAGGUUUCCCCUGAGCCUCCUUUUUUUUCCAGUCUAAACAAUCCCAGUUCCUUCAUCUGCUCCUCAUAAGACUUGUGCUCUAGAUCCUUCACCAGCUCCCUUGCCUUUCUUUGGACAUGCUCCAGUACCUUCCACAGUGGAUUUGUGGCAUUCUUCA